RNAcentral lists this ribosomal RNA (255 nucleotides) under uncultured bacterium. RNAcentral describes it as "partial 16S ribosomal RNA". It matches the Rfam family "Bacterial small subunit ribosomal RNA", at positions 524 to 776 of the family's 1533-position model. The record is from RNAcentral.
UACGUAGGGUGCAAGCGUUAAUCGGAAUUACUGGGCGUAAAGCGUGCGCAGGCGGUUAUGUAAGACAGGUGUGAAAUCCCCGGGCUUAACCUGGGAACUGCAUUUGUGACUGCAUAGCUAGAGUACGGGUAGCGGGGGAUGGAAUUCCGCGUGUAGCAGUGAAAUGCGUAGAUAUGCGGAGGAACACCGAUGGCGAAGGCAAUCCCCUGGACCUGUACUGACGCUCAUGCACGAAAGGCGUGGGGAGCAAACAGG